Molecule: long non-coding RNA, 142 nt
Organism: Thalassophryne amazonica
Lineage: Eukaryota; Metazoa; Chordata; Actinopteri; Batrachoidiformes; Batrachoididae
Exons: 3
Source: RefSeq, a predicted model, not a curated record
GAAGAGAUCUCAUACGAGGAGAUCUUGCACUAAUAGAAGAGAUCUCAUGCUAAUAAAGGAGAUUUUGCACUAAUAGAGGAGAUCUUGCACUAAUAAAGAUCUUGCUCUAAUAGAGGAGAUCUUGCACUAAUAGAGGAGAUCU